Athene cunicularia (burrowing owl) is the source of this 135-nucleotide long non-coding RNA. RefSeq lists it as uncharacterized. NCBI's taxonomy places the organism in Eukaryota, Metazoa, Chordata, Aves, Strigiformes, Strigidae. The transcript has 3 exons. The record is from RefSeq and is a predicted model, not a curated record.
AAACUGAAAAAGGGUAGAUUGAGAUCAGAUAUAAGGAACAAAUUCUUCCCUGUGAGGGUGGUGAGGCCCUGGCACAGGUUGCCCAGAGAAGCUGUGGCUGCCCCCUUCCUGGCAGUGCUCAAGGCCAGGUUGGAC